AUACGGAGGGUGCAAGCGUUAAUCGGAAUUACUGGGCGUAAAGCGCACGCAGGCGGUCUGUCAAGUCGGAUGUGAAAUCCCCGGGCUCAACCUGGGAACUGCAUUCGAAACUGGCAGGCUUGAGUCUUGUAGAGGGGGGUAGAAUUCCAGGUGUAGCGGUGAAAUGCGUAGAGAUCUGGAGGAAUACCGGUGGCGAAGGCGGCCCCCUGGACAAAGACUGACGCUCAGGUGCGAAAGCGUGGGGAGCAAACAGGAUUAGAUACCCUGGUAGUCCACGCCGUAAACGAUGUCUACUUGGAGGUUGUGCCCUUGAGGCGUGGCUUCCGGAGCUAACGCGUUAAGUAGACCGCCUGGGGAGUACGGCCGCAAGGUUAAAACUCAAAUGAAUUGACGGGGGCCCGCACAAGCGGUGGAGCAUGUGGUUUAAUUCGAUGCAACGCGAAGAACCUUACCUGGUCUUGACAUCCACGGAAGUUUUCAGAGAUGAGAAUGUGCCUUCGGGAACCGUGAGACAGGUGCUGCAUGGCUGUCGUCAGCUCGUGUUGUGAAAUGUUGGGUUAAGUCCCGCAACGAGCGCAACCCUUAUCCUUUGUUGCCAGCGGUCCGGCCGGGAACUCAAAGGAGACUGCCAGUGAUAAACUGGAGGAAGGUGGGGAUGACGUCAAGUCAUCAUGGCCCUUACGACCAGGGCUACACACGUGCUACAAUGGCGCAUACAAAGAGAAGCGACCUCGCGAGAGCAAGCGGACCUCAUAAAGUGCGUCGUAGUCCGGAUUGGAGUCUGCAACUCGACUCCAUGAAGUCGGAAUCGCUAGUAAUCGUGGAUCAGAAUGCCACGGUGAAUACGUUCCCGGGCCUUGUACACACCGCCCGUCACACCAUGGGAGUGGGUUGCAAAAGAAGUAGGUAGCUUAACCUUCGGGAGGGCGCUUACCACUUUGUGAUUCAUGACUGGGGUGAAGUCGUAACAAGGUAACCGUAGGGGAACCUGCGGUUG
RNAcentral lists this ribosomal RNA (997 nucleotides) under Salmonella enterica subsp. enterica serovar Paratyphi A. Its description in RNAcentral is "bacterial SSU rRNA". It matches the Rfam family "Bacterial small subunit ribosomal RNA", at positions 523 to 1520 of the family's 1533-position model. Lineage: Bacteria; Pseudomonadati; Pseudomonadota; Gammaproteobacteria; Enterobacterales; Enterobacteriaceae. The record is from RNAcentral.